UUCCCUGUACACAGAGCGAGCCCCACAGUCCCCGUCCAUCAAAGGCAACUCAGGGCAAGUUGAUUUCCGCACCUGACAGAUAAUGGUUUUGUAUCAGGGAUCUGAUUAACAGCCCUGGUGAAUUCCUGUAAUUUAUUAAAGCGUCUGGUCCAGAUGGUUACAAAAAAAAAAAAAAAAAAAACCCUCCGUGCAGAAUACUGAACAUAGAAAUGCAGAACUGGACAACGGGCAGCAUGAAGAGAUGGGCACUUGGAAUGGAAUAGAUGCAGUGUAAUUGGGUGGCUUGUGGUAACGCCAAGAGGCUCUGACUGAAGCAGAGGGAUCUUUGCCAGCGGUGCUGACGAGCAGCGUAAAUCUGGACGCACCCUACAAUCACUCUUAAUGCAGUUCCAGCCUAUUGCAUCUGAUAACAGACUGAUUCACCUGAAGAACUUUGCAACUCUACCCAGUAUCGUCACCACUGUGGUACAGUUCCACAAUUUUCAAGUCUUCUGGCACAUGUGAUUUUUAUGCUUGUA
This 518-nucleotide long non-coding RNA is filed under the name Dromaius novaehollandiae (emu). Its description in RNAcentral is "lncRNA (ENSDNVG00000018880.1)". Lineage: Eukaryota; Metazoa; Chordata; Aves; Casuariiformes; Dromaiidae. The record is from RNAcentral.